RNAcentral lists this long non-coding RNA (531 nucleotides) under Homo sapiens (human). RNAcentral's name for it is "HSALNT0297562". Lineage: Eukaryota; Metazoa; Chordata; Mammalia; Primates; Hominidae. The record is from RNAcentral.
ACUUGGGUGCAGGCGGUUCAGCUUCAGAAAGCUGGGGGUGGGGCAGGCGGGUGACACAUGCUCCUCUGGGAGUGGGAUAAAUAAUCUUCAGCUGCAACAAUAAAGAUCAAUUAUGACCUAAUCACUCCGCCCGAUUCCAAAAGCCCAGGGGGUGGGCCUCGCCCUUCCUCUCCCUCCAGGUUUAAUUAUCUGAAGAGUCUUGGACUUUCAUUUCUUGUUUUUUGCUUGUUUGCUUGUUUGUUUGCACCUGGUUGAUGUAUAAGUCUUGGACUUUGGGAGACCCAAAAGAGAAGGAAGGUGUUGGCAAUAUCCUUGAAGAGACUAAAAGAACUCAGAACAACACUGAACAAGCCAGCAGAGCCAUCAACUCACCCCUACAGUCUCCAUACACAGACUCCAUGAAAGCAUUGGCCAUCAGCUCUCACUGGUGUGGAUAUGUCACCAGUGGGGUAGAGUUGUUCCUCUCUCUGACACUGUAUUAGUCCAUUCUCACACUGCUAUUAAAAAACAAACAAACAAACUUGAGAUUGG